UACAGAGGGGGCACGCGUUAUUCGGAAUUAUUGGGCGUAAAGGGCGCGUAGGCGGCCUGGCAAGUGGAAGGUGAAAUCCCUCGGCUUAACCGAGGAACUGCCUCCCAAACUGCUUGGCUUGAGACCGGGAGAGGUGAGUGGAAUUCCCAGUGUAGCGGUGAAAUGCGUAGAUAUCGGGAGGAACACCUGUGGCGAAAGCGGCGCACUGGACCACAACUGACGCUGAGGCGCGAAAGCUAGGGGAGCAAACAGG
Molecule: ribosomal RNA, 253 nt
Filed under: uncultured bacterium
Lineage: Bacteria
Description: partial 16S ribosomal RNA
Rfam family: Bacterial small subunit ribosomal RNA
Source: RNAcentral